This 229-nucleotide long non-coding RNA is filed under the name Olea europaea (common olive). RNAcentral's name for it is "long non-coding RNA (OEUR_LNC011411)". The record is from RNAcentral. Lineage: Eukaryota; Viridiplantae; Streptophyta; Magnoliopsida; Lamiales; Oleaceae.
CUCUCUCUUCAGCUACCAAAGCACUUGCAUACUUAGACAGUUCGACAAACUUUACAUGAUAUUCAGCAACAGACAUAGACCCCUGCACCAAUCUUAAAAAUUCAUUUUGUUUUGCAUCACAAUAAAAUGGUGGAUAAUGUCUCAAAGAAAGCUUCCUUGAAAAUGGUACAGGUGAUAAUACUUGGAUCUGGAUACCGACUUCGGAACGAAAUCCACCAAUCAGCAGCUC